This is a long non-coding RNA of Phalaenopsis equestris, 404 nucleotides long. RefSeq lists it as uncharacterized. The transcript has 3 exons. NCBI's taxonomy places the organism in Eukaryota, Viridiplantae, Streptophyta, Magnoliopsida, Asparagales, Orchidaceae. The record is from RefSeq and is a predicted model, not a curated record.
AAUUACUAAAAUGCACCUUUCUCAGAACUGUAAAUUCUCUGAAACACCCUCGCUCAUUACAAAAAUAUCAUCUUGUUUCCGCAGAAAAUCUUCUAGGGAUAUCGCAGGUAUUUGGGGAUGGUGGAGGGUGGCGAAGGGGAUAAAGUAAUUUAGGAGAGAGCGGGAGAGAGAGACGGUGGUGGCUUAUCGUCUACUUCCCCGGGCAGUUUGUACGGCUGAUUUCUGUGGUGACCGGAGCAAUUCGAGGGAGAAAGUAGUACUGCUGUGAGCCAUGGUCAGUCUAAGGAGACGAAGACUAAUGGGACUAUGUUCUGGGAAAAGCUCUAUUCCAGUUGAGUUGACAAGCUCCACUGAGAAUAAUGGUGCUGUGAACCUUAACAGAAAUGUAAAUCCUUUCAGCAUUC